This 485-nucleotide ribosomal RNA is filed under the name uncultured bacterium. RNAcentral describes it as "bacterial SSU rRNA". It matches the Rfam family "Bacterial small subunit ribosomal RNA", at positions 19 to 518 of the family's 1533-position model. The record is from RNAcentral.
AUGGCUCAGGAUGAACGCUAGCGGCAGGCCUAACACAUGCAAGUCGCGGGGCAGCACGGGUAGCAAUACCUGGUGGCGACCGGCGCACGGGUGCGUAACGCGUAUGCAACCUGCCCCCAUCAGGGGAAUAGCCCGCCGAAAGGCGGAUUAAUGCCCCAUAGGCCCAGGGCGCCGCAUGGCGCUAUGGGUAAAGCUCCGGCGGAUGGGGAUGGGCAUGCGUGCCAUUAGCUAGUUGGGGCGGUAACGGCGCACCAAGGCGACGAUGGCUAGGGGGUCUGAGAGGAUGGUCCCCCACACUGGUACUGAGACACGGACCAGACUCCUACGGGAGGCAGCAGUGGGGAAUAUUGCACAAUGGGCGAAAGCCUGAUGCAGCGACGCCCGCGUGAGCGAAGAAGUAUUUCGGUAUGUAAAGCUCUAUCAGCAGGGAAGAUAAUGACGGUACCUGACUAAGAAGCACCGGCUAAAUACGUGCCAGCAGCUGC